RNAcentral lists this ribosomal RNA (253 nucleotides) under uncultured bacterium. RNAcentral describes it as "partial 16S ribosomal RNA". It matches the Rfam family "Bacterial small subunit ribosomal RNA", at positions 524 to 776 of the family's 1533-position model. The record is from RNAcentral.
UACAGAGGUCCCGAGCGUUGUUCGGAUUUACUGGGCGUAAAGGGUGCGUAGGCGGUGGGGUAGGUUUGAGGUGAAAGCUCCGGGCUCAACCCGGAAAAUGCCUUGAAAACUAUCCGGCUAGAGGGUUGGAGGGGAGACUGGAAUUCUCGGUGUAGCAGUGAAAUGCGUAGAUCUCGAGAGGAACACCAGUGGCGAAGGCGGGUCUCUGGACAACACCUGACGCUGAGGCACGAAAGCCAGGGGAGCAAACGGG